AUGGAUGGAUGGAUGGGUGGGUGGGAACGUCAACGACUGAUUUGGGCGAGAAGUGGGUUUCAGAAAUUACUAACGUGAUAAUUUUGUCGCAGACCCAACCAGCCCAUGAAUGAUGAAGCGGUCUUGUCUUUAGCGUCUUGAGCAGUCUCCGUCUCGCCGGCGUUUUCUCUUCUGCUAAAUUCUAGUUUCAAUGUCCUCGGAAGUUAUCAAGUUAACAGAGAGAGUUUGAAAAGAAGAGACCAGAGAUCUUUUUGAGAAGCAGUAACUGUUCAACACGUGGUGUAAUAGGUCACGUGGCGACCAAACAUACAGUUUUGUUGAGGAAGUGUCUCUGCAUAAUCGCCACGUAUCUUAUGUGACAGGGCUGUCUAAAGCGGUUUGAUUAGACUAAAACUGAAAAAUAUGACCAAUUCAACCUCAACCGAAUUUGAACCGCUCUCGCAACGAUGUAGCUGUUUCAAUUAUUUUAUUAAAAUCAAAACUAUGGUUUCCAACUUUCCAUACAGAAACAGUGACUAACCGUACAGAAACGAUUGGUCACCUUCGGUCGCAAGUCUGGCUCUCUGGUGGUGUUCUUGAAUUUUAUAAUCCACAA
Molecule: long non-coding RNA, 595 nt
Organism: Brassica napus (rape)
Lineage: Eukaryota; Viridiplantae; Streptophyta; Magnoliopsida; Brassicales; Brassicaceae
Exons: 2
Source: RefSeq, a predicted model, not a curated record